This 497-nucleotide ribosomal RNA is filed under the name uncultured bacterium. RNAcentral's name for it is "partial 16S ribosomal RNA". It matches the Rfam family "Bacterial small subunit ribosomal RNA", at positions 28 to 507 of the family's 1533-position model. The record is from RNAcentral.
GAUGAACGCUGGCGGCGUGCCUAAUACAUGCAAGUCGAGCGAACGGAUGAGAAGCUUGCUUCUCUGAUGUUAGCGGCGGACGGGUGAGUAACACGUGGAUAACCUACCUAUAAGACUGGGAUAACUUCGGGAAACCGGAGCUAAUACCGGAUGAUAUUUUGAACCGCAUGGUUCAAAAGUGAAAGACGGUCUUGCUGUCACUUAUAGAUGGAUCCGCGCUGCAUUAGCUAGUUGGUAAGGUAACGGCUUACCAAGGCAACGAUGCAUAGCCGACCUGAGAGGGUGAUCGGCCACACUGGAACUGAGACACGGUCCAGACUCCUACGGGAGGCAGCAGUAGGGAAUCUUCCGCAAAGGGCGAAAGCCUGACGGAUCAACGCCGCGUGAGUGAUGAAGGUCUUCGGAUCGUAAAACUCUGUUAUUAGGGAAGAACAUAUGUGUAAGUAACUGUGCACAUCUUGACGGUACCUAAUCAGAAGGCCACGGCUAACUACGUG